UCCAUUCGUAACCAAACCCCAACCCCCAUUGCUUUUUCCCUUCCUCUGGCCUCCGCCACCACCAUGCCAUUUACGCGGGUUGCCAACCUGGUUCAACUGCCGUAGGUCUCUCCGGCCUCGAUGGCCGCCUCCUCACCGCCCGUCCCAGCCCCAAGGUCGCCGAUCUAGGCUUCGUCGGCGAGGUCGCCAGAGUCGACCCCACAAUCCUUUGCUACCUCAUCGACACCAACCACAUCCCGGUCGUCACCUCCGUCGCCGUUGCCGUUGAAGAUUCCGGACAGCCCUACAGCAUUAACGCCGACACUAUCGCUGGAGAACUGGCUGCAGCGCUUGGCGCGAGAAGCUAAUUCUGCUGACAGACGUUGCGGGAUCUGGAGGAUCGGAACGGUUACAACAGCUUGGUGAAGAAGAUUGACAUAAACUUUACCUUUCAUAACAUUAUGGAUUAUAUUAUACUUGCAUUUAUUUAUGUUUCUAAUUUUUAAUGUUCUUUUCUGUUUAUGUUGUUUCAUGAAGAUAUGAUCUGUCUAAUAUUCUUGCGCGUUUCUUGAUAGUUGGACAUGAUUAUGCUUCUUGGAAUAAUUGAAUUAAUUUAAUCAGACAAUUAAAGUAUUGUUUGUGAGUAACACCAUGCUUUGCAGGCUGCAGAUACCUUGUGUUGCAUUCAUGCUGUGAUAUUUUUGAGAUAAAUGAAUCAACAAGAUGAAGUACUGUUCAUAUUGUGCAAUGAGUGUUAAGUCCAGUAAUGCAGCAAAACAAAAUUCUCUUUCUAGUUCAUUAUUGAACAAUUGGAUGUGUUUUUUUUAAGAGAUAUCCUAUGUUAAUUCUCUCUCUCUCAUCUGAGGUAAGGUGCUUAGAUUUUGAUCUUAUAAAUGUUAGUUCCACUUUUACUGAUAGUUGAUGUCAGAAUCAAAUAUGUGGUCUCUUUACAGGUUAAAGAAGAAGUUGAAGCAGUCUUAAAGAGACAUUUAACCAGCAUGAAACAAUAAGAACUAAUCUCCUACUGAUUAUAUAAAUUCCCAUGACUUGGACGUGGUAUUGAGUUAAAGGAAUGGACUGGAAAAAUAUGCUAUAACUGAAUGAUUUAAAAUUGUUUAGCUUGACUGAAAUUCAUUCUUAGGCAUCCUUUUUACUUGUUUUCAGGACUUGUGGAAAGGAAUUGCAUGCUACUGAAUUAAGAAAUUUGCACCAUUAGUUUACUUGGUGGUUUUGGAGCUUCAAGAGGAUGAAAAACUGACCACUUCGGAUGAUCCUCCUAUCGUAUUUGGCUGUUUGGAUGGAAGCUUUAUACAAUAGGGUUUUCGCUCAUCUAAUAGUCUUUCCAGCAGUGCUUUUGAUGUAGUGCAUCAGGUUGAUGCCAAGUAUCCAGCUUUGCUUUUCAAGCAACAGCUUGCAGCUUACGUGGAAAAAUUAUAUGGAAUCAUUCAAGAAAAUUUCAAGGCAGAUUUGACAUCUCUGCUUUCUUCUUGUAUUAAGGCAGAUAGAGAAUCAAAUGACAACAGUCAACAAGCUGGUUCUUGGCUCAGCAUUAUGGAAUGUCUUAAUAAAUAUCUCAAGAUUGUGAAAGAAAACUAUGUAUGUGAACGUUUGACAGUACAGUGAAUUGGUAUCUGUACAGCCCUUGACUUCCAAGUCCUUUUUAAUGUUAUAGAGCAAACUGAUUUUAUGUUUUGCCC
Long non-coding RNA from Vigna angularis (adzuki bean), 1676 nucleotides. RefSeq lists it as uncharacterized. The transcript is spliced from 4 exons. NCBI's taxonomy places the organism in Eukaryota, Viridiplantae, Streptophyta, Magnoliopsida, Fabales, Fabaceae. The record is from RefSeq and is a predicted model, not a curated record.